ACUGCUCAGUAACACGUGGACAACCUGCCCUUAGGACGGGGAUAAACCCGGGAAACUGGGUAUAAUACCCGAUAGGUCUCGAUUGCUGGAAUGCAUCGAGAUUUAAAGCUCCGGCGCCUAAGGAUGGGUCUGCGGCCCAUCAGGUAGUAGUGGGUGUAGCGUACCUACUAGCCUACGACGGGUACGGGUUGUGAGAGCAAGAGCCCGGAGAUGGAUUCUGAGACACGAAUCCAGGCCCUACGGGGUGCAGCAGGCGCGAAAACUUUACAAUGCUGGCAACAGCGAUAAGGGAACCUCGAGUGCCAGGUUACAAAUCUGGCUGUCGAGAUGCCUAAAAAGCAUUUCAUAGCAAGGGCCGGGCAAGACCGGUGCCAGCAGCCGCGGUAAUAC
Molecule: ribosomal RNA, 390 nt
Filed under: uncultured archaeon
Lineage: Archaea
Description: bacterial SSU rRNA
Rfam family: Archaeal small subunit ribosomal RNA
Source: RNAcentral